GUCCCUUGUGUCUGAAACCUUCAACUCCAGCCUUGAUCUUUAACAAAAUGAUUUCUGCUUUUUGUUCCUAGAUUAGAUUUUCUUUCCAUUAUUAAUAUAUCCAACCAGUUGCACUGUUGAGUUUCAUAUUUGGCAGCUGCUGCCUCCCUUGUUGGUACAGGUUAGAGCUGUGUGUGUGCUGGAUGUGUGAGAGUCAGCAUGGAGGAAGGAGAAUUCACUUUCCACACUGACAGGGAGUGGUGCAGCUUCCAACUGUGCUGCUGUUCUGGUGUUAAAAAUUCAAGAUUUGAGGGAGUUCCCAUGAUCUGUCAGUGCUCACUGGGGUCAGAAGCCAUUAGAAGGCCAGGAAAGGCCCACUGAAGAUGGAAAGUGGUGGCAGAGGUUCUCUGGAUGGGAGAGGCUCACUCCUGCUUUCUCCACAGGACUGUCACAGGUUGGAUUUAUUCCUGAUCCCAGCAGUUUGUCAGGGAUUAGCAAAUCUCAGUGGGCUGGCCCAGCACACACCAGCCCUUGCUGUUUGAGCCUGAAUCCUUCCUGUGACACUGAACCCCCUUUCUGUAGGAACCUGUGGCAGUGUUUGAAGCUCAGGUGUGCCCUGAGCCCUCAGUAACUCACUCAUGUUCCUGUGCCUCUGGUCUGAACACCUGGGAGCUUGUAACCCAUGUUCCAUGAGCCCCUAGAGAUGGGGCUGUCUGUGCUCUGGAGGAUUUUGCAGAGGUAACAAAUCCCCCAAACUCUGGCAAUGCUUAUUAAUCCUAAAGCUCUCUAACCUCUCAGGCAGGGCUGCCCUGCAGGUUAAUGCUUCUGCCUUUUCUAAUGUGAUUUAUUGGAGUUCUCUGGUUGAUGCAUGGCACUGUCCAGUGCUCUCAUGUCCCUGCUGGGGCUGUAGCUGUCACCUGUGGGUCCUUCCUUUGGCACAUGAGGGUGGAGCUCAGUGCUCUGUAUUGCUCUGUGUGUCACCAGAGUGGAAACACAGAGACUUGAAAGAAGGAAAAGCCUUGUCCCAGCCCCAGGUGGAUCCCAAAGCACAGCCCAAGGGAUCUGCAGGCUCAGGUGUGCUGGAGUGAGCUGGAUUAUGGGGUCAGGGCAGGGGGUGGUGCUGUCACCAUGUCCCAUGGGCCCAGCAGGAAUUUGCACUUUGAGUCUUGUCCAGAUUUAGAUGUUCCCCCUGUGCCUCUCUGUGUGCUGCAGCUGUUCCAGAUCUCUCACACAUCAUUGGAGCUCUGCUGGUUGGGAGCAAAUUGUGGAUGUGGGCUCUGAGGGCUUUCCUGUGCCUCCUGCAUGGUCACAGGAGUGACAAUAACUCACCAGUUUAACCCAGUUCAGUGCUGAAGCCUUCCUAAUGCAGAAUUUGCAGCAAUUUCAGCCCUUUUGGAAGGGAGAAGUGCUCUGUCCACCUGCCAGCCAACUCCUCCAGAGGUCUGGGCAGGCAGAGGGUGUGGAAGGGAGAGGCUGCUGCUGCUCCAGCUUUUCUCCUCUGAGUUCUCAGCAGCCAGAGCCUGUGGCAUUGGUGGUGAUUGUGUUGGGAGUGUUUAAUUCAUUAUCCAGUGACCUUUCUAAUGAAUAUUAGAUUGGCUUAAAAAUCCAAAUACAAAAUGUCAGGAAGGAAACAUUUGCAUCCAAUUUUAAUCUUACUCUAAGAGUUUGAAGAGACAUUUGAUGUGCAGUGAGAAGAGAGGAGCAGAACAGAAGUUCUUCCCAUCUUCCACACCACCUUGCUCAGGAAAGACCAGGAGAGGUGUGUUCCUGUUAAACUCUUCCUGCUUGACCCUGCUUGAGCUAAAAUCUCACACAGCCUGUGGUGAGGAGGUGCAGCAGAAGCAGAACCCCUUGAAGCAGCCUUGAGCUGUGGCUGUGGUUCUGACCUCCUGCAGAAGGUCCUUACAUCAAACCCUCAAAAAUUUGGGGUUGCAUGCAUGGAAUUGAUACUGCAUUCAGCUGCUUUUGAAAGGAAGUGGAUGAGUUCAGUGUGCUGAGUUUUGUGAUGUUGCUUUUAAUUCUAGAUUUUCAUCUGAGUUGGGGCUUCCUCUUUAGUUAGUUGAAUCCCAAAGUGAUUCAUCUGGCAAGCAGAAAUGUUUCUGGUAGUUUUGUGGUGUUGUUCAGCAAGAAGCUCACACUGCAGGACUUCACCCUGUGAUGGUUCCUCCAUCCUGACCACCCACUGGGGGAUGGAAUCCUGUGGUGAGAGUGCUGAGUGUCUCUGGGUGGUACCUGCAGCAGCCUAAAAUCUACACUUGGGGGUAAAAAUCUGCUGGUGUGGUGACCCGUGGCUCAUUCCCAGGAAAAUCCCAGAGAGGGAGGAGUUUUGUACCCCCUGGAGCAGCUGCCUUGUGGUGUGACACUGAGAAAAGCUGAGCCCUUGGGUAGGGAAGCACAGAGCCCAUGGCCUGGGUGAUGUGGCUGUCACCAGCUGUGUGAAACAUCUGCAUCUCUCACUGAAUUUGGGCUGAGUGCAGCACCAGGCAGGGACAGUGCUGUCACCUCUGACCAUGCCACUCCUGCCUCAGAGAUACCCCUGAGGAAUUCAGCAGAGUCAUCCUUCAGCUCAUCUCUUUCCUUGAUGUUUUUCCUCAUAUUCCCUCACAAAUAACUUGUGUUAUAUUUGGAAAUGAUGUUUCAGCUUGCUAACAGCCAGUGAAUAUGAAAAAGCAGGAGAGGGGAUUGCCAUUUGACAGGGAUCUUUAUUAAUUUGGAAAGUAUGGCUUAGGGAGCCACUUUUCCAUAGAGAUAUGGGAUGGUUGUGCUCUGACAAGUGAGAAAAUGGUGAUUGUAGCCUGUUUUAUUUUUGAGGGAAUGUCUGGAGUUGAUAAUCCAGGAUUUUGUGUCUCCUGGAGAAAUGAAAGUGGCAAAAGAUCACUUAAAAGCAUUGCCUGACCUUGGUGUGAAGUCCUGUGCUGAAUGAGCCCAAGGAUUGUGAAUAAAUUAGGAGUUACAUAAGUCAGGAGGGGAAUGAGAGGGCUGAGGGAACUCUGAAUUCAGCCACACUCUAAUGAUUUCUCUUGGAAUGAGUAUUUCCCAUGAAGUUAAAGUAGUAUUAUGAAAAGCCAGGAGACUGACGUGCAGAAGUGGGAUCAUUUGAAUGGUACAUUUGAAAAUAUUUUUAUAAGCUCUUUGCCUUUUCCCUGUCAACUUUUUUUGACAAGUCUUGUUUGAAAAAAAUAAUUGUGCUGAAAACUUAGGGAUUUUAUUUUUCCUUUUGGAUUUGUGUGUUUAGUAUGAAGUAAUAGUUCUCUGCAAGACUGGAAUGAGUUUAAUCUCAUUUAAUUAGACCAGGGGAAGCUGAGUAGGUUGUGCUGCUGUUUCCUGGGUCAUAGCAGGGCCUGGGGAGGUUUGGAGAGGGCAGGAGGAAGGCUUGAUGUUUACUGGCCAUAUGGAGGGGGCUCUGAGGAAGGAUUGACCAGCUCUGGUCACAGGUCCAGCUCAUCCUUAGCCAGUCUGGGUAACAACUGGGUUCAACACAGAUUUGCUUCUCUAUUGUAAACAUUUUUGCCUGAUUGCAGCCUUGACCCUUUAAAAGCAGCCCCACCAUCAGUAUAGAAGCAGUUACAAAUUCCCCUACACCACAAACUGUGUCCUGUAUGAUUAAUUUGAAAUGUUUUAAGGCAUUGAUUUACUGUGUAUUCCCACAGUAUUCCCAAGACCAAGAUUCUCCUGAUCUUUUGUGAUAUCUCUGAGAGGUGAAUCCCAGUGUAGUGCUUUGCUAUGGCAACAGGAAUCACAGGAUUUGUCAUGGCAGAGCUGCUCCCCAGUCACAGCUCAGGUAAUGUGGGGGGCUCAGUGCAGCUCUGGAAUUCCUGAGGCAGCUCAUUCAGUGCUUGGUUAUUGUCUGAAAAUGCUCAGAGUGAAACCAAAAGGAGUCUCAAGGUGGGUGGCUGCUGGUCUGUGCUGGGGUUUGGAUUCUCUCCAGUACUCAGGAAAUAGAAGCAGGAGGUUCUGUUUAGGGCAGGGAUGUUCCUUUUGGGGCAGGAACUUUCCCUGUAGCCUUUGGUCCUGAAGAAAUACUUUCUGUCCCCUGCUUCCUCUGCCUGUUUAGCAAUAACUUCCUUCAUGUUUGCUUGUGUUUUUAGCCAAGUUUUGGCAUCAUUUCAGUGGAACUGUUCUGGAAGAGCUGCUUCCAUCUCCCUGGGGAGCAGCUCUGCUGAUGUAACUGUGAGGAGAGGGCAGGGCUGUGCCUGUGUCUCUCUUGGCAGUGCCAUGCAGGGCUGGGAACCCUUCCUGCAUCCUGGUUCCCUUCCACUCAGGCUGAAACAAUAAACCUGCACAGACUGGCAGGGCAGUGCUGUUCCUGCCCCACACUGAUUGUAUAAAUUAUCUGGUGAUACGGGCAGCAGCAGUUAAUAGAAAGUUCUUACUCUUUCAUUCUUUCAGCUAGGUAGCAAAGUCAGGUAUAACAAAUUUGUUAGCAAAUGCUAAAAUCCGAUUCUUCCAUCAAGCUGAAUUUUUGUUGCGUGGUUUUCAAUUAAAAGAAAAAGCACAAGUGGAUUUGUGCUCUGACUUGCAAAUUCUGUGAGGAUAAAUAUAGUCAGCACUCCCCCCCUCAGCAUCACUGUGGUGCAGUUCUUUGGCACAUUCCUCCCCAAAUCUGUUCAGAAAAGGGAAAACAUUCCCUCUUGCUCCAAGGGCUGAGCAGGGUGGAAGAGCAGGAGUGUCUGACAAGUGCUGGAAGCUGCUCAGAGCUGCAGGUGAGGCUCAGGCAGGAAAUGUCCUCUCCUGGCAGCCCCUGGGGGUGAGAUGGAGCCAGAUCUGAGUCCCCAUUCCAGGGCACUGCCAGGUGGCUGCAGGCACUGCCUUUGCUGGAUGUUCUCAGGCUGUGGGGAGCAAUAAACAGAGCUCUGACCACUCAAGCAACUGAGAUCAGUCACAAAUGUGAUCUCUUGGCAGCUGCAGCUUGGAGAAAUGAGCUCAGGGUUUGAAUUCCAAGGUUUUGAAUGCUGGUGCUGUCACCUGCUCGCCAAAUGGCCCCAGCUCAGAUAUUCAUGUGCUUUCCAUUUGUUGGCUGCUCUGAUCUCGUGGAGCAGAGGGUGGAUGGGUGUCAGGCCUGUGAACAUGGAACAAUGAGCAUCUGAGGGGCUGAGGAGUGUCACAUUUCUUUCUGGGUUUUGGAGCUUUGUAAUAAAUACAGGAAAACACAGGAGAGGGGGAUAAAAAUGCUUAACAGUGCCUUUAUUCAUUAGGUAUGGGUUGGUUUGGCAGUCUUACCAAGAAAUAGCUGUGAUCACUCUUAUCUUCUUGUAUCUUCACUUGUCCUCACAGGAACCUCAAUCCUGGCAUGGAGGAGCAUUUCCAUGCUUGUGUUUGCAGCACACAUCACAGCAGUGGUUUUGAGUGAUGUUUUCAUGUGAGCUUAGCUUGAGAAACCUGGCCUGCUGUGGUUGCUCUCAUCAUCCCCAUCUUCACUGCUGUGUUAAACUCAGCAGAGCACAGACCAAGGGGGAGGUUUGCUCAGUGCCUCAGUGUCCUUUGGGGGAAGCAGUUGCCCCCUUGUUUGCUUUUGGAGGUGUAAGAUCCUUCCCUUGAUUACAGGUGGUGAGUUUGUGUUGCUUGAGCGGGUGUGGCCAGUGAGAUCUGCAGUCCUUGUGCUUUCAGUGUUUGUUGUGACAGACUGCCCUGGCCUGGCUGGGCACGAGGCCUUCUGGCCCUUGGUGCUGGUGCAGUGGAAGAGCAGUUUUGUUAAACUGGGAGAGGCAGUGGCCCUGCACAGCCUGCCUCACUCCUCAGUGCAGCCCUGAAUCACAGCAGCCCCUUCAGCCCUGUCCACUUCCCAAGAUGAACACAGACAGCAGCUCUUACCUUGAAUUCCUGUCCUCAGUCAAACCAGGAAUUGUGGUUUUGCUCCAGCUCCUCCUUUGUUGCUCAUUAAUCCAUUGCCCAGCAUUUGGGGUAGGGAUGUUUUUUGACCCAGACUCCACUACAUUCCUUCCCCUGCAAAAGGAGCUCUGGUGCCUCAGUGCCAAACCUCAGCUUGGCUUUCUGCAAGUGACAUCCUUGGUUUGUGUUCUGCAAAGUUUUGAGCUCCCACUGGAAGUUUUCCAGUGAUUGGGAUGUUUACAACUUGACUUUCUCUUGUCAUUUCUCCCCUGCUUAGUAAGGAUUAAAUUGACAGGGCAGUUUCUGUGUUCUUGGAAAAAACUCCCUCCUCUCUGGAACUUUGUUUGCUACCAAGGAUGAGGGACCUUUGUUUAAAUCUCUUGAUUGUUUUGACCCCUUCCAGAAAUCUGACAUAAACAGGAUGAGCUCACAGAUCUAAUUCCCAAAGGGGACUGGGAUUAAAGCUUGCCCUUGUUUGUUCAUUUGCUUCUUGCAGCAAUUGGAAUGAGUUUGAUAAUGUGGUGUCACUUUUAGCCAGUGAGGAGCACCCCAGGCUUGUGCAUCAGUGAAAAUGAGUGGAUUUUCUCCUUUUUCCCUUUACUGAAUGAGGAGUCUGAAUUUUCAGCAGGACAGCUCUUGUUUUCUCACAGACUCUUAGGGAGCCCAGUGCUGCCAAGGCCACCACGAACCCCUGUCCCCAGGUGCCACCUCUACACACCUUUUAAAUCCCUCCAGGAUGGGGACUCCUGGGUUCUGCCUAGGCUGGACAGCCCCUCCCAUGAAGAAAUUUCCCCAAUAUCCAACCUAAACCUUCCCUGGCACAGUUUGAGGCUGUUCCCUCUUGUCCUGUCCCUUGUUCCUGGAAGCAGAGCCAGCCCCCCAUGCUGUAGCAGUCCUGGGAGUGUUGAGUGUUGCAAAAUUCACAUCUUCAAAAAUGCAACUCAUUCAUGAGCACAGAGACUCCUCCCUGUCUCCCUGUUCCCAGACAGUGCAGCUGAAGGUGAGCCCUGGCCCUGUGGCUCCAUUCCAGGUUGGUUGUUCACUCCAGGCUCCUGUUUCCCUUGCAGAGCCUGCAGUGGGGUUUGUGCUGAGUGAACAAACCAGCCCUUACCCAGCCCGUGCUGUGCUCAUGAACCUGCCCUGCACUGAGUCCCUUUGCAGGAGCAGCUGAAAGCCCCUGGAAGGUUGUGUCUCACUGUGGGUUUCAGUUAAAGAUGACAAAUAAGGAGAAAUCUUCCAUGUCCAACAAGAUCAGAUGCUGUUGUCUGUGUCCUCUGGAGAUGCUGAGUUUAUGAAAUUCUCCUUCAGUGACAAGUGUGAUAUCAAUCACUCCUCUAGGAUUUGUUUGUA
Molecule: long non-coding RNA, 7158 nt
Organism: Melospiza melodia melodia
Lineage: Eukaryota; Metazoa; Chordata; Aves; Passeriformes; Passerellidae
Exons: 2
Source: RefSeq, a predicted model, not a curated record